This 356-nucleotide transfer-messenger RNA is filed under the name Desulfomonilaceae bacterium. It matches the Rfam family "transfer-messenger RNA". From Rfam's summary of the family: Bacterial tmRNA, also known as 10Sa RNA or SsrA, is named for its dual tRNA and mRNA-like properties. Its role is to liberate the mRNA from a stalled ribosome. To accomplish this part of the tmRNA is used as a reading frame that ends in a translation stop signal. Lineage: Bacteria; Pseudomonadati; Thermodesulfobacteriota; Desulfomonilia; Desulfomonilales; Desulfomonilaceae. The record is from RNAcentral.
GGGGGCGACCUGGUUUCGACGGGGAUAGUUGAUGGCAAGGUUGCAUGUCGAGCACUCCGGUGACUCGUUAAACCGCCGGUACACUAAAAUACUCGCCAAUAAUCACGAGUACGCACUAGCCGCGUAAGGCUAGCGUCUCACCGUUUUCUCUCCUGCGGAGGCGGAUGGGGCGACGGUCAGCAGGAUAGCCGACUCUUUUGGCCCGAAGGAGACGAGGCGAAUACACAUUCGGGCUGGUUCGGCCGGAACCUUUUCCGAGGGGGUCCGUUCGGACGAGAAACAAAACUUGGAAUAAGCAUGUAGACCCCUUGUCUGAAGAUUUCCGGACGCGGGUUCGAUUCCCGCCGCCUCCACCA